AAAAAAAAAAAUAUGUACAAACUUUAAAAAAAUAAUAAAAUGACAUAACAAAACCAGAAUUCCACCGAGGAUGAAGGCCUUUGAACCAUUCUCCCUGGACUCCCUUGCAUCAUGAACCGCAACUUAUUGAGCUUAGUUCCUCACCUCUUAGUUUGGUCAUCACAGUUCCACACUUCACUUCCAAUCAAGCAUGUCUAAUAGCCACAAAACCUCCUCCCUGGAAUUUGCAGCAUCACGGAAAUCCAUUUCAAUCCCAAAAACAUCAAUGACACCCUCAUUUCCAUCUUCCAUGAAGAGCAAAGAUAUCCAUGCUCGGAUACCAGGAAUAAAUGGGUGAACUGGGGAGAAAUCAAGGUACUCAAAUGCCAUAGCCCUGUAGGCCGUCCGAUCUAUAUAAUCAAACAUAGAUCUAUUAAUGACACGAGCAACUUUGUUGGAAUCUUUGCGCCCUACAAGCACUGAAACACUCACAGUC
RNAcentral lists this unclassified non-coding RNA (475 nucleotides) under Hevea brasiliensis (rubber tree). The record is from RNAcentral. Lineage: Eukaryota; Viridiplantae; Streptophyta; Magnoliopsida; Malpighiales; Euphorbiaceae.